CCCUUAGAUGUUCUGGGCCGCACGCGCGCUACACUGAUGCAUUCAACGAGUCUAAAACCUGCUCUGAUAGGGGUGGGUAAUCUUUUGAAUGUGCAUCGUGAUUGGGAUAGAUGAUUGCAAUUUCUCAUCUUCAACGAGGAAUGCCUAGUAAACGCAAGUCAUCAGCUUGCAUUGAUUACGUCCCUGCCCUUUGUACACACCGCCCGUCGCUCCUACCGAUCGAAGAGUUAGGUGAAUUGUUUUGAUCGAUAAGAUUUGACUAUGGUCAACUCUCGUUGUGAAAUUCUGUGAAUCUGACUGUUUAGAGGAAGGAAAAGUCGUAACA
This 325-nucleotide ribosomal RNA is filed under the name uncultured eukaryote. Its description in RNAcentral is "partial 18S ribosomal RNA". It matches the Rfam family "Eukaryotic small subunit ribosomal RNA", at positions 1470 to 1796 of the family's 1831-position model. The record is from RNAcentral.